AAACGUAGGAGGCGAGCGUUAUCCGGAUUUACUGGGCGUAAAGCGCGUGCAGGCGGCCCGGCAAGUUGGCUGUGAAAGCCCCCGGCUCAACCGGGGGAGGUCGGUCAAAACUGCCGGUGCUAGAGGAUGGGAGAGGGGGAUGGAAUUCCGGGUGUAGUGGUGAAAUGCGUAGAGAUCCGGAGGAACACCAGUGGCGAAAGCGAUCUUCUGGCCCAUCACUGACGCUCAGACGCGAAAGCUAGGGGAGCGAACGGGAUUAGAGACCCCGGUAGUCCUAGCCGUAAACGAUGUAGACUAGGCGUGGGCGGGUUCAAAUCCGUCCGUGCCGCAGCCAACGCGAUAAGUCUACCGCCUGGGGACUACGGCCGCAAGGUUAAA
Molecule: ribosomal RNA, 378 nt
Filed under: uncultured bacterium
Lineage: Bacteria
Description: bacterial SSU rRNA
Rfam family: Bacterial small subunit ribosomal RNA
Source: RNAcentral